This 515-nucleotide ribosomal RNA is filed under the name Tomogenius ripicola. Its description in RNAcentral is "partial 16S ribosomal RNA". It matches the Rfam family "Bacterial large subunit ribosomal RNA", at positions 1819 to 2607 of the family's 2925-position model. Lineage: Eukaryota; Metazoa; Arthropoda; Insecta; Coleoptera; Histeridae. The record is from RNAcentral.
GUCUUUUUGAAUUUUAUUUAAAGUCUGACCUGCCCCCUGAAAUUUUAAAGGCUGCAGUAACUUGACUGUACAAAGGUAGCAUAAUCAUUAGUCUUUUAAUUAAAGGCUUGUAUGAAUGGUUUGACGAGGGAACAGCUGUCUCAAUUUAAUUUUACAGAAUUUUAUUUUUAAGUGAAAAGGCUUAAAUGUUUUAAAAAGACGAGAAGACCCUAUAGAGUUUUAUAAAUUUAUUAAAUUAAUAUUUUUUAGUAUAAUUAAAUUUAAUUUAAUAAAUUUAUUUUGUUGGGGUGAUAAAAAAAUUUAAUUAACUUUUUUUCUUUUGAACAAUAAUGUUUGAUUAGUUGAUCCGUUUAGACGAUUAAAAGAUUAAAUUACCUUAGGGAUAACAGCGUAAUUUUUUUUGAGAGCUCUAAUUGAAAAAAAAGAUUGCGACCUCGAUGUUGGAUUAAAUUAAAUAAUUGGUGAAGAAGCUAAUUUAUUGGGUCUGUUCGACCUUUAAAAUUUUACGUGAUCUA